UCGAAGCCCACCGUUCCAAGGUAACCAAGUCACACGGCCUGUCCGUCGACGUCCCACGUUUCUUACCCACGAUCGAACCGUCAGAAGCCAACUCACGCACACCCAAUCUUCCCCACACUCGUACUUCUUCACAACCGCAGCCACCGCCGCCAAUCUCCUCUCCCACUCCGUUCUCCUCCCCAUGUCGCCGCAAAGAUCUCCGCUCCAAAUCUCGUUCCCCUUGCUACGGUGCAGAUCUCCUCCGUACUACAGUCCCCCAUGCCGUGGACACCGAACACCACCACCACAUCCUUGGCGGCUGUGUCGCUGCCCUUCUGCUGGUGGCAGCUCAACGCCUGCUUGCUACCGUAGGGGCACCGGCGGUUUUAUGCUGCUGCUGCUGAGUCGCCGUUGUGGUGCUGCCGACGAACCGCGAGCCGGUACACCGGCGUUAUCCCCUCCGCGUGGGCAGACCUGGACGGAAGGCAACGGAUCCGGCGCUCAGCGCCUUUCACCUCCAACGGCGCGGCCUCCUCGACUGAGCGGCGACGGCUCGACCUCCUCUGACUAGGUGUCAUGCGAGCUGGGUUUUUGCUGCUUGGAUCUCCACUCUACAGGUUGUGGGAAACCACUAAUGACAAUUUAUUUUGAGAUUGCCAUAUUCUUUCUACCUAACUUGUGUUCUGUAUAGACUGUACAAUGUUUCCUUUUCUGGAACUUUAGAGGCCUGAUCAAUUGAACAAGUAUAUUGGGGAGAGUGAAUCAGAAGUAAGGAAAAUAUGAACCUGUGCAAGCACUAACUCACCAUACAUCCUAUUUUUUUGAGGUAAAAUUUUUUGUUUAGCUGAUUGCGUGUGUGGAUUUAUUCUUUCGGGAAGACUUGGUAGUUACUUUGUACAAUUAUGAAUGUGUGGUACAUCUGUCAUGUGAUUUAUGAAUGCGCAACGCGUGGAAUUAAAUUGUUUGACCAUGCCUUCCUUGUUUAGGUAAAACUAAGUAGUUGUGGCAGCUUUGGAUGAGAGAACCCAAUUCCUGGUAAAUUGGACAUCAUCGAUGAGUUCGUCGAGUUUGAUUGAACUCUCACACUUUGAACAUGCUCUAUUUAAAGCAAGGCCAUCCGUGAUAAAUAGAGAUCUGAACAUGCUCGAGUUCGGUGGAUUUGAACCCAAUAUUCUGUAUGAAUGCUUUUAACAAUGCUUUGUCAGGCCGUUCCUGCCGAUGCUGCUGUUCAUGCCGUCCCCCCAGUGCUUAGCAUCACCGGCAACAAUUUCAGCGCUGUCCGACAAGGUGCUCUACAGGGACAACCUCCGUCGACCUGUCAUCGAACUUCACUGCUUUAGGUGGGAGCAGUGACUAGCAUUGACCAGGAGGAGCAAGAAGCACCGACAGCUACCAUUGCUGGCUGAGCUAGCUGCUAGCUUCGGUUACUUGCGACGGGUUGUAGGCUGCAAGUUAGAAGAAUCGACUCGGGGGAGAAGAUGCUUCAUGCUGAUGGUAUAUAAGCUUGGCAUAGGUAUGGACUUCAAUGUCAGGUUUUGGUGAGUAGCCUGAGCUUCCUGUUCUCAUUCAGAAUGAAAAAAAAAAUCAAUUUCAGAGUUCCUUGCAGAAUUUAGAAGAUCAAUGCACUGUUGCAUUUUCACCUGUCGGCAUGUUUAAAAGACCAUUUUCUGAUGUUUUGAUGACCUGAUGUAUUGAUUCUUGAGGUGUGUGACCAACUGAUCAUGCAGUAUGUACUUUCAUCUGUUUCUAAAUAGAUGGUGCUUUUGUACAUAGUGAAGAAGCAUUGCAAGACUCCAUCAGAAAAUGGACCCGCGGUAGACUGCAUCCGCAUCGGAGCACGGGCGAUGCCUACAUUGGACAGCGGCAGAGUGUGCAAAGUCCGCGCUUCUGACGGUCCUUCACCACCGACUGCCGUGCUCUCUGCCAUCCUUCUUGCUCCUCCCCAUCUCUAUGCCACAGCUCGCAGGCUAGCCCAACCUUUGCUGCCUUCCUUUCUGCCUCACCUCCCUGGAACUAUCUGCACCGGCCUGACCUUCUUUUGUGAGCCAGGAACUUGGGCGCGGUUCAAUCUUUUUUUGUGGGCUCAGUUCAGUCUGUGGUGUGGUUCGGUUCAAUGAAAGAACGAAGAUGACUUGCGUGACCGCUCCUGUGUGAGAUAGAAAAUUGGUCUUGCAGUUUGGGCUUGCAGAGUUGCAGUUCAGUUAUGGUGUGGUUAAGUGGAGAGUAAAGGAUUCUCUCAAAUAAAAGUUGAGAGUAAAAGAAAGAAAAAGCAAAAGAGAGAGGAUAAGAAAUGUGUGCUAGAGAAAAAAUCCUUCCAUUUUUUUUACUCUCCACUGCACCUGGACUUUAAUUAGCUGUGGUUUGGGACUAUCCAAAUUUUGAAGUGUCAUUCCUCUCUCCUAUGUACAAUUUAGUGCUUCUGCCUACUUAUGUUAAGAUACAACUAUUUAGGAGUUUCUGCCAAGUAAAUAGAAGUGCGCUUUUCCUGUUGGGCAUUA
Long non-coding RNA from Triticum aestivum (bread wheat), 2477 nucleotides. RefSeq lists it as uncharacterized. The transcript is spliced from 5 exons. NCBI's taxonomy places the organism in Eukaryota, Viridiplantae, Streptophyta, Magnoliopsida, Poales, Poaceae. The record is from RefSeq and is a predicted model, not a curated record.